AUAAAUCUGAUAAACUCAAAAUCCCUCCCCUUUUCCCUCACCUUGCUUUUUGUUUUCCCAUAGUCCUAUUUCUUUUUCUUUUUCCAUUCUUCACCUGAGUUUUGAGAAGAAUUGACGAAUUGUUCUUUUGAAGUACUUGAUCUCUAGUGCUUUGCUUUCUUUAAUUCUUGAUAUUCAAUUCGCUAGGGGGGUGUUCAUGUGUUUAGGCUUCUAUGUAAUUGGUGAGGUUUGUGAGACGGACGAUCUCUCGGCAAGUUAUGUAAUAGCCCAAAUUUCAGCGACGUAGGAAAUAGUGGUUCGAGACCAUUAAAUUUGGCAAAUGAACUCGUAAAUUAUAUUAUUUAAUUUUUACGAGCCAAAUGUAACUUUUAAAAGAUUUUUGAAAUAGUAAACCGUGUUUUAUAAAGA
This is a long non-coding RNA of Gossypium raimondii (Peruvian cotton), 408 nucleotides long. RefSeq lists it as uncharacterized. The transcript is spliced from 2 exons. The record is from RefSeq and is a predicted model, not a curated record. Lineage: Eukaryota; Viridiplantae; Streptophyta; Magnoliopsida; Malvales; Malvaceae.